RNAcentral lists this ribosomal RNA (539 nucleotides) under Bifidobacterium longum subsp. infantis. RNAcentral's name for it is "bacterial SSU rRNA". It matches the Rfam family "Bacterial small subunit ribosomal RNA", at positions 158 to 711 of the family's 1533-position model. Lineage: Bacteria; Bacillati; Actinomycetota; Actinomycetes; Bifidobacteriales; Bifidobacteriaceae. The record is from RNAcentral.
GGGUGGUAAUGCCGGAUGUUCCAGUUGAUCGCAUGGUCUUCUGGGAAAGCUUUCGCGGUAUGGGAUGGGGUCGCGUCCUAUCAGCUUGACGGCGGGGUAACGGCCCACCGUGGCUUCGACGGGUAGCCGGCCUGAGAGGGCGACCGGCCACAUUGGGACUGAGAUACGGCCCAGACUCCUACGGGAGGCAGCAGUGGGGAAUAUUGCACAAUGGGCGCAAGCCUGAUGCAGCGACGCCGCGUGAGGGAUGGAGGCCUUCGGGUUGUAAACCUCUUUUAUCGGGGAGCAAGCGUGAGUGAGUUUACCCGUUGAAUAAGCACCGGCUAACUACGUGCCAGCAGCCGCGGUAAUACGUAGGGUGCAAGCGUUAUCCGGAAUUAUUGGGCGUAAAGGGCUCGUAGGCGGUUCGUCGCGUCCGGUGUGAAAGUCCAUCGCUUAACGGUGGAUCCGCGCCGGGUACGGGCGGGCUUGAGUGCGGUAGGGGAGACUGGAAUUCCCGGUGUAACGGUGGAAUGUGUAGAUAUCGGGAAAGAACACCA